Long non-coding RNA from Pelobates fuscus (common spadefoot toad), 1360 nucleotides. RefSeq lists it as uncharacterized. The record is from RefSeq and is a predicted model, not a curated record. The transcript is spliced from 2 exons. Lineage: Eukaryota; Metazoa; Chordata; Amphibia; Anura; Pelobatidae.
UUUUGCUAUAUUUAUGGAGGCAUGAUGGGCCCAGGGGGGCUAGAUGGUGGUUUUAACACUAUAGGGUCAGGAAUACAUGUUUGUGUUUCUGACCCUAUAGUGAUCCUUUAAGAAAAUAAACUUCAAGGGAUUAACUGUGAGGUGUCCAUAUAUUGCCAGGAAGUACUGGGCCAGGGCAGCUGCCAAUUGUCCUGCGUUAAAGACGGCCCAACUGCCAUUUUUAACAUGCUUUAGGGUGGCCUGGGGGUCAAUUGCCUCCUUGCCACCCGUCCCAGCCCGUCCCUGAUUAAUUAUAUGAGCUAGAACUAAUCUACUUUGAUGUCACAGCACUUUUUGACAAAAUAUCAUUAUAUACAUAUAAUACAAAUAUAUCUGACCUUACAUAUUCUAUUAAGCCAGACUGUAAAUUGAAGCCUGAAUCAGGCCAUGCAUGACUUGCCCUCCUUUGCUUAAAGAUAGUGCUGUUCUAAGGUGUCCUGGUGCCCUAAGUGAACAGACAGAAGUCUUCCAAAUUCGUUAUCUUUGGGGGAGCAGUAGAGUCUAAAGGUGCCAUAACCAACCAAAAAUCCUCUAAUCAGAAAUCCAAGAGGUGCACGUGGUCAGUCUAGGGCAGUGGUAGGCAGCCUUCGGCACUCCAGAUGCCGUGGACUACAUUUCCCAUGAUGCUUUGCCAGCAUUAUGGUUGUAAGAGCAUUAUGGGAUAUGUAGUCCACAAGAUCUGGAGUGCCAAAGGAUGCCUAUCCGUGGUCUAGGAAGCUUGCAGAGCUGAAUGUUGCAAGUUCCUUCACCUAUUCUAUCCAGUAGAAUAGGUGAAAUUGUCUACCUACUCUUAUGCAAAUUGUCUACCUACUCUUAUGCAUCAAACCUAUUUAACCCCUAGAUGACAAAUGAAGUGCCAGGUCGUUCGUGAAAUCAUAGGAUUUGCCUAACGACUUUUCUAAAAGGGUGAUGCAUUGAAUUAUUAUAUUUACUUAGUGAUGCUAAAAUAUACCAUUUAUUCUUUAUAUUCAGUUAAUAUCGAGUCUUCAGAUCCAGUUUAACUAAUCGUUAGACAGGAAAAAUACCUUACAUAAAACAUUAAGCAAGUUUGGAUGCACUUUCGGGUUGGGGUUAUUGUGUACACUCCACUCCUUAUACAUUUCGUAUGUUGGAGGAAUUCAAGUGGCCCCAGAAAUGAAUGUUGGUGUUUUGUAAGCCUAUGAAAAAGGCCUAAAAUGCUGUGGGGAUGAGAUGGGAUUAAGCUCAAUGCAGAAUUACAUAACGUAACUCUAUAUAUAAAAUACUGUAAAUAAUGGUAAAUGAAGCAAAAAAAUGUUAGAUGCUUUAUUUGUAAAAUAAAUAUUUUUUCUUGUUUACUGGU